AUUGAACGCUGGCGGAACGCUUUACACAUGCAAGUCGAACGGUAACGCGGAGAGAAGCUUGCUUCUCUCCGGCGACGAGUGGCGAACGGGUGAGUAAUACAUCGGAACGUGUCCGCUCGUGGGGGACAACCAGCCGAAAGGUUGGCUAAUACCGCAUGAGUUCUACGGAAGAAAGAGGGGGACCCGCAAGGGCCUCUCGCGAGCGGAGCGGCCGAUGACUGAUUAGCCGGUUGGUGAGGUAACGGCUCACCAAAGCAACGAUCAGUAGCUGGUCUGAGAGGACGACCAGCCACACUGGGACUGAGACACGGCCCAGACUCCUACGGGAGGCAGCAGUGGGGAAUUUUGGACAAUGGGCGCAAGCCUGAUCCAGCUAUUCCGCGUGUGGGAUGAAGGCCCUCGGGUUGUAAACCAC
This 415-nucleotide ribosomal RNA is filed under the name uncultured bacterium. Its description in RNAcentral is "bacterial SSU rRNA". It matches the Rfam family "Bacterial small subunit ribosomal RNA", at positions 29 to 433 of the family's 1533-position model. The record is from RNAcentral.